Molecule: ribosomal RNA, 253 nt
Filed under: uncultured bacterium
Lineage: Bacteria
Description: partial 16S ribosomal RNA
Rfam family: Bacterial small subunit ribosomal RNA
Source: RNAcentral
UCCGUAGGGUGCAAGCGUUAAUCGGAAUUACUGGGCGUAAAGCGUGCGCAGGCGGUGAUGUAAGACAGAUGUGAAAUCCCCGGGCUUAACCUGGGAACUGCAUUUGUGACUGCAUCGCUGGAGUGCGGCAGAGGGGGAUGGAAUUCCGCGUGUAGCAGUGAAAUGCGUAGAUAUGCGGAGGAACACCGAUGGCGAAGGCAAUCCCCUGGGCCUGCACUGACGCUCAUGCACGAAAGCGUGGGGAGCAAACAGG